CUGUCCCGCUGCUCACUGCGAAGUAUGGAUUUGAUUCCAUCAUUCUUUGUCUCUUUGAGCCAACCUCGUACCCGUCCGAAACCCCCCCGCUUCCCAACAUUGCCCUUCAAAUUUCCAUACCCAAAAAAAAACAAUCCCCCACUCAACAUGUUAAUAAAGCCAAACCCAACCCUCUUUUCCCUGACACUUAAUUUUAAUUCCUAUUACUCAUAAUAUUCAUCACAACACCCACAGCCAAACAUCAUAGAAAAAAAAAAUAACAACAGAUCAAUCAGACCACCUAUAGAGAUAGAGAGAACCACACAAAGACCAUAAAAAUAUAUUUCUAUCCAAUACAUUCAUUAUGCAGGACAUAUAUAAAAGAAAAAAUCAUAGAUAAGUUUGCACAAAUUACAAUCAUAAGGUAUGCAAGAUUAAUACUUAAUAGUGAAGUAACAUACCAAAUGUUACACUAACACGGCUUAAAAGGCUAGUUAAUUUAAAAAACAUGUAAACACAAAAUAAGCACAAUUUGAUUGAUUGCAACAACACAUUAUUGACCCUGACCAGGUUAAAAGAAAAUUAGAUGUGCUCACAGAGACUCCAUAUCAUAUCAGGCAUAUUAUAGGAUAUUAAAUUAUUAAAAAUAAAAACGCAAAAGUUUAAGGGAGAAAAGAAAGCAUAUUCCUGGCCUGGGACCUGAUAGAUAUGUUGUUUGGCGAAGCCAACCCAGAAAAGCCCACACAUAAGAAGUCAAUACAAUUUCAUGCAACAAACAACCUCAAUCACCCUAUAACCAAAGCACAUAUCUACCAUAAACAAUAAAAUCAAACAAAACUAAAUGCAAACACGAUUUCUAAUCAUAAGCAACACCACACAGAAAUAAAACCCCAGCAAUUACAAAAAGAACAAAUAAAUUGGAAGGAAAAGGCACGCAGAAUAAAAAAAAUGAAGUUAGGUUGACAUACCCUCGGGGACCAUACAUGUUACCAAGAUCGCCGAAAGAUCGAGCGAAAGGCGCUUCCGUGGACGGAGGAAGACGAUACGGAUCCAGCGCUACAAUCGCACGAGAGAGGAAUCCCAAAUUGAAC
RNAcentral lists this long non-coding RNA (1070 nucleotides) under Vigna radiata. Its description in RNAcentral is "long non-coding RNA (VRAD_LNC005868)". Lineage: Eukaryota; Viridiplantae; Streptophyta; Magnoliopsida; Fabales; Fabaceae. The record is from RNAcentral.